This 220-nucleotide unclassified non-coding RNA is filed under the name uncultured Tomentella. Its description in RNAcentral is "sequence contains ITS2". Lineage: Eukaryota; Fungi; Basidiomycota; Agaricomycetes; Thelephorales; Thelephoraceae. The record is from RNAcentral.
ACACCUCAACUCUCAUGGCUUGCCCAUGAUGAGCUUGGACUAUGGGGGUCUUGCUGGCCUGCGGUCGGCUCCUCUCAAAUAAAUCAGCUUGCCAGUGUUUGGUGGCGUCACGGGUGUGAUAACUAUCUACGCUUGUGGUUUUCCACCAGGUAAACCUUCAGCGAUGGAGGUUCGCUGGAGCUCAUAAAUGUCUCUCCUCGGUGAGGACAGCUCUUUGAAC